GACGAACGCUGGCGGCGCGCCUAACACAUGCAAGUCGAACGAGAGAGGAAGAGCUUGCUUUUCCGAUCGAGUGGCGAACGGGUGAGUAACGCGUGAGGAACCUGCCUCAAAGAGGGGGACAACAGUUGGAAACGACUGCUAAUACCGCAUAAGCCCACGGCUCGGCAUCGAGCAGAGGGAAAAGGAGCAAUCCGCUUUGAGAUGGCCUCGCGUCCGAUUAGCUAGUUGGUGAGGUAACGGCCCACCAAGGCGACGAUCGGUAGCCGGACUGAGAGGUUGAACGGCCACAUUGGGACUGAGACACGGCCCAGACUCCUACGGGAGGCAGCAGUGGGGAAUAUUGCACAAUGGGGGAAACCCUGAUGCAGCGACGCCGCGUGGAGGAAGAAGGUCUUCGGAUUGUAAACUCCUGUUGUUGAGGAAGAUA
Molecule: ribosomal RNA, 427 nt
Filed under: uncultured bacterium
Lineage: Bacteria
Description: bacterial SSU rRNA
Rfam family: Bacterial small subunit ribosomal RNA
Source: RNAcentral